RNAcentral lists this ribosomal RNA (476 nucleotides) under uncultured Enterobacter sp. RNAcentral describes it as "bacterial SSU rRNA". It matches the Rfam family "Bacterial small subunit ribosomal RNA", at positions 30 to 495 of the family's 1533-position model. The record is from RNAcentral. Lineage: Bacteria; Pseudomonadati; Pseudomonadota; Gammaproteobacteria; Enterobacterales; Enterobacteriaceae.
AUUGAACGCUGGCGGCAGGCCUAGCACAUGCAAGUCGAGCGGUAGCACAGAGAGCUUGCUCUCGGGUGACGAGCGGCGGACGGGUGAGUAAUGUCUGAGAAACUGCCUGAUGGAGGGGGAUAACUACUGGAAACGGUAGCUAAUACCGCAUAACGUCGCAAGACCAAAGAGGGGGACCUUCGGGCCUCUUGCCAUCGGAUGUGCCCAGAUGGGAUUAGCUAGUAGGUGGGGUAACGGCUCACCUAGGCGACGAUCCCUAGCUGGUCUGAGAGGAUGACCAGCCACACUGGAACUGAGACACGGUCCAGACUCCUACGGGAGGCAGCAGUGGGGAAUAUUGCACAAUGGGCGCAAGCCUGAUGCAGCCAUGCCGCGUGUAUGAAGAAGGCCUUCGGGUUGUAAAGUACUUUCAGCGGGGAGGAAGGGAGUAAAGUUAAUACCUUUGCUCAUUGACGUUACCCGCAGAAGAAGCACCG